CUGACAGUAGCAAUAACAUCAUGAAAUUAAAUUUAGCUUAUAUGGUAAUAACAACAAUAUAGCUAAGUAACAAGACCUUAUAGUGUAACGGAAGCAAGCUCCGCCACUAAACAGAAGCAUAGCGGAAAAAAAGAAAAACAGAAUCAUUAACCUUCCUUACGUCAGAAUCAGCUUUCUCCGUUCAGUUGCACGAAUUACUUCCAACCAUUAGGCCUGGAUAACAAAUCAUGCUCAUUAUUGUUGGAGUUUUGCUUAGCAUUAUCAAUCUUCUAUGAGGACAUGACACCCAUGAGCAAUUUUAUUCCAAUCCUCACCCUGAUUGUCCUUGAUCCUUGAUGAUAACACUGGCAAUUUUCUUACUUUUAAUUCACGGAGCGUCCUAACAUGCCGCAGCCCAUCGGGAAGCACCAUUAAAUAUGUACAUUCAUCGAUCUCCAAGCUUUUCAGACUAGGCAGUGCUCCUUCCUCCACAUUCCAUUCCUCCAGUGGCUCCAGCUUCUUGAAUUUAAGGACUUCAAGCUUAGGAAAUCCUCCAAAACUGCAAAGCAUUUUCUUUCCUGUAAAUGAUUUGGACAUCAGUAUCAAAAUUUGAAGGUUGGGAAGCUUGUCCAGUAUUUGCAUGGGAUCCUCUGCCAGUCCAGAAGCUGACAAGGUGAGUUCAACGAGGUUCUGAGGGAACUCAGAAACCAGAUGCUGGUUCUUUAGCUUUCCAGUCAAAUAUAUGCUGGUGAGAUCAACAUGGCUCGAUAAAGACUCCAAGUGCAGAUCCCAGGGCUGAUUUAAUUCAUCAAAUGAUUUCAACAUCAGGGAUCGAAGGUUUUUUAAAUUUUGAACCCAAUUUGCCACAACAUCCAGUUGCUCGGACAUUGCCGUCUUUUGGAAAGGUCUUGAUAUCUUGCAAAUCAGUCCCAACUUUGUAAUAGUCAACAAAGUAUCCAGCCCAUUUCUUACAAGACUAUCCUCAUCAACGAAUAUGCCCCAAAGCGUUUGAAGAUCCAUUGGAGAACGGCCCCCUUCCCAGACGAACGUGCUGCGAAAACUCUCAUCAAGAAAUAAAUGCCUUAGUUUCAGCAUAUUCCAGAUUAUAUUGGGAAGAGUACAAAUGUGAGCUCGCUUCAAAUCUAAAGUUUGAAGGUUUAUCAACUUGUCAAUGAACUCAGGAAGUAUCUCUAAGUAAGUGGAUCUCAAACCUAGGUACCUUAACCGAGUAAGUUGACCUAUUGCCUUGGGCAGUUUUGGCUUAUAUACAUUUUCAAGAUCCAACACCCAUAGGAAAUGGAAGCAAUUGCUGGAGAUACAUCGAUCAAGAAAUUUCCCUAUAACUUCUCCAGCUUUGCUCCCUUCUCGAGUAUCAAAGGAUAAAAACGAGACAACAUCACUAUAGCAAGGGUAAAGAGAAGCAGUAUCGUUACCAUGGAUGUGAUCAAAGAUAGCAUCGUUUUCGUCGACAUGGUCAGCAAGACGGCGUAUCACACUAGUGAUGUUGGUGUGACCUUGGAGAAAAUUAGCUUGCUGGGCUUUUGCAAACCAGUGUACUCGCACUGCCUCAGGUAGGCGACACGUCUUGAUCUUCCCAUUGAGCUUCUUCUGUGUCACCUGUACCAUGUUAUGGUUCACCAACUCUCUCAAGCAUUCCUCUACGACAUAUUCAGGAGUUUUCUCAUCACCUUGUUGACGUCCCAAACCCUCCGCAACCCACAAGCCAAUCAAUCUUCUUGCAGGUAUCUUAUAAUCGGGUGGAAAUAAUCCAAAAUAAAAAAGGCAUCGCCUUAAAUACAAAGGCAAAUAUUUGUUGAUAUCUUCCAAGACUUCAGACCAUGGUUCUUCAUUUUGAUUUAGUUGGUCAAGCAUCCUUGACAACUCCUCUGGGGUUGGGUCUCUUUGUGACACUAGUUCUCCCAGUUUCACAAUCACCUUUGGCAGCCCUCCACAUUUUCUUAAUAUAUCAUUUUUCUUUGCUUCCAACCUUGACGCGAUGCAUAUAUUCAACUUAUGUUUGAACAAAGCCCAGCUUUCAUCAUCGCUUCGCAGAUGUAGUCUGUAAAUAAGGUUUGUAUCGGUAACUGGUGGAGCCCAAUCUAGGCUGCGUACAGAGAACAAUAUUCGAGUUCCGUUUGAUAUUUCAGAGAAUGCACUUCCCAUUACUCUCCAGAAUUGGCAUGGAUAAGAGUUAUUGACCACAAUGAGAUACUUCUUAUCCGCAAAGAAAGCAUUAACCAUCUGCCUCAACCUAAAUGCAUAGCUUUCCUCCGUUUCAUUACGACCACUAUAUAAUCCCGAAAUGUCAUCAAAUCCCAAAAUCUUUUUC
Molecule: unclassified non-coding RNA, 2308 nt
Filed under: Hevea brasiliensis (rubber tree)
Lineage: Eukaryota; Viridiplantae; Streptophyta; Magnoliopsida; Malpighiales; Euphorbiaceae
Source: RNAcentral